Molecule: ribosomal RNA, 433 nt
Filed under: uncultured bacterium
Lineage: Bacteria
Description: partial 16S ribosomal RNA
Rfam family: Bacterial small subunit ribosomal RNA
Source: RNAcentral
AACGAACGCUGGCAGCAUGCCUAACACAUGCAAGUCGAACGAGACCUUCGGGUCUAGUGGCGCACGGGUGCGUAACGCGUGGGAACCUGCCUUUAGGUUCGGAAUAACUCAGAGAAAUUUGAGCUAAUACCGGAUGAUGUCUUCGGACCAAAGAUUUAUCGCCUUUAGAUGGGCCCGCGUUGGAUUAGCUAGUUGGUGGGGUAAAGGCCAACCAAGGCGACGAUCCAUAGCUGGUCUGAGAGGAUGAUCAGCCACACUGGGACUGAGACACGGCCCAGACUCCUACGGGAGGCAGCAGUGGGGAAUAUUGGACAAUGGGCGAAAGCCUGAUCCAGCAAUGCCGCGUGAGUGAUGAAGGCCUUAGGGUUGUAAAGCUCUUUUACCCGAGAUGAUAAUGACAGUAUCGGGAGAAUAAGCUCCGGCUAACUCCGUG